Molecule: long non-coding RNA, 126 nt
Organism: Maniola jurtina (meadow brown)
Lineage: Eukaryota; Metazoa; Arthropoda; Insecta; Lepidoptera; Nymphalidae
Exons: 4
Source: RefSeq, a predicted model, not a curated record
CCUAAAAUUGGGUAGAUUAUAAUUGCUGGCAGCCUUUGUUUUACAACUACGCCCCCCUGUCAAUAUCAUUCAAGUGCCAAAAGAUCCUUGUCGCACUGUACGUUAAUUUAGCGUGAAUAUAAUAGA